UUGGAGGGCAAGUCUGGUGCCAGCAGCCGCGGUAAUUCCAGCUCCAAUAGCGUAUAUUAAAGUUGCUGCAGUUAAAAGCUCGUAGUUGAAUUUCGGGACCAUCAUGUCGGUCGUGCCUCGGUACGUACUGGUAUUGUUGGUUUCUCCCUUCUGACGAACCAUGAUGUCAUUUAUUUGGUGUUGUGGGGAAUCAGGACUGUUACUUUGAAAAAAUUAGAGUGUUUAAAGCAGGCUCACGCUUGAAUACAUUAGCAUGGAAUAAUGAAAUAGGACGUUUGAUUCUAUUUUGUUGGUUUCUAGGAUCGACGUAAUGAUUAAUAGGGAUAGUUGGGGGCAUUAGUAUUCAAUUGUCAGAGGUGAAAUUCUUGGAUUUAUUGAAGACUAACUACUGCGAAAGCAUUUGCCAAGGAUGUUUUCAUUAAUCAAGAACGAAAGUUAGGGGAUCGAAGACGAUCAGAUACUGUCAUAGUCUUAACCAUAAACUAUGCCGACUAGGGAUCGGAUGAUGUUAAUUUUUUAAUGACUCAUUCGGCGCCUUACGGGAAACCAAAGUGUUUGGGUUC
Molecule: ribosomal RNA, 563 nt
Filed under: uncultured Glomeromycotina
Lineage: Eukaryota; Fungi; Glomeromycota
Description: SSU rRNA
Rfam family: Eukaryotic small subunit ribosomal RNA
Source: RNAcentral